CCUACGGGAGGCAGCAGUGAGGAAUAUUGGUCAAUGGACGAGAGUCUGAACCAGCCAAGUAGCGUGAGGGAUGACUGCACUAUGGGUUGUAAACUUCUUUUGUCAGGGAAUAAAACGAGGCACGUGUGCCUUUUUGCAUGUACUUUAUGAAUAAGCAUCGGCUAACUCCGUGCCAGCAGCCGCGGUAAUACGGAGGAUCCGAGCGUUAUCCGGAUUUAUUGGGUUUAAAGGGAGCGUAGAUGGGUUGUUAAGUCAGUUGUGAAAGUUUGCGGCUCAACCGUAAAAUUGCAAUUGAUACUGGCAGUCUUGAGUACAGGAGAGGUAGGCGGAAUUCGUGGUGUAGCGGUGAAAUGCUUAGAUAUCACGAAGAACCCCGAUUGCGAAGGCAGCUUACUAAA
This 398-nucleotide ribosomal RNA is filed under the name uncultured bacterium. RNAcentral's name for it is "partial 16S ribosomal RNA". It matches the Rfam family "Bacterial small subunit ribosomal RNA", at positions 338 to 733 of the family's 1533-position model. The record is from RNAcentral.